Parelaphostrongylus tenuis is the source of this 71-nucleotide non-coding RNA. Lineage: Eukaryota; Metazoa; Nematoda; Chromadorea; Rhabditida; Metastrongylidae. The record is from the annotation of a GenBank genome assembly.
GCGUCGGUGAUGCAACGGUCAGCAUACGCCUCUGAAAGAGUGAGAUCUGGGUUUGAACCCCGGCUGGCGCA